RNAcentral lists this long non-coding RNA (38594 nucleotides) under Coffea arabica (coffee). RNAcentral describes it as "long non-coding RNA (CARA_LNC000462)". Lineage: Eukaryota; Viridiplantae; Streptophyta; Magnoliopsida; Gentianales; Rubiaceae. The record is from RNAcentral.
AAGAUGACAAGCAGUAUGGUCUCAGUCGUUUUAUGCCAAUGACUAAUGAUUGCAUGCCAUGGCUAAACGAAAGAUCAACCAGUUCAGUUGUUUAUGUAUCAUUUGGAAGUUUGGCAGAACUUGACGCUGAGCAGAUGGAAGAAGUAGCCCAGGGCUUGAGAACUAGCAAUUACUAUUUUCUAUGGGUGGUUAGAGAAUCAGAAUCAAAUAAGCUGCCAAAAGAUUUUGUUAAAGAAACAUCUGAUAGAGGAUUAUUCAUUUCAUGGUGCCCUCAGCUUGAAGUUUUAGCCCACAAAUCUAUAGGGUGCUUUAUCACUCAUUGUGGAUGGAAUUCAACAUUGGAGGCCUUAAGUUUGGGGGUCCCAAUGAUAGGCAUGCCACAAUGGAUCGAUCAAAGUACAAACGCCAAGUUUGUAGUGGACAUCUGGAAAACGGGAAUCAAAGCUCAGCCAGAUGAAACUGGAAUUGUUAGAAGAGAUGUCAUUCAUGAAUGCAUAAGCGUAGUGAUGGAGGGGGAGAAAGGACAAGAGAUUAGGAAAAACGCAGAUAACUGGAAGGAUUUGGCAAGGAAGGCUUUUGAUGACGGGGGAAGUUCAGAUAAAAACAUUAAAGACUUUGUAUCCAAAUUGAUUCAGUCUUGAAGAGAUAAUAAAGUUGAUCUGUCUUAUCCAAAUUGAUUCAGACUUGAAGAGAUAAUAAAGUAGAUUUGUCUUCUUCAAUGAUAAUCAAAGGCAACCAGGUGACUGUCACAUGAAUUUUUGACGAAAAGUAACCACACAUUUGUCUGGAUCCACUAGCAACUGCAGUAGAAACGUGGUUUUCCUGGUGCCAUUAAUAUCUAGAAAGUAGACUAUAGCAUAGAGGAUAUAGCACACACUGUCCCAUGUAGCGCACGCAAGUUCAAUUCAAUGUGAAUACUAGAGUUUGCAAUCCUCUAAGGUAGAACCACUGAAUUCUAUAAAAUUUAUUUUGACGUGUAGGGUACCGUAUAACCUAUCUCAAUUUGUAUGCCCUGGUAGAUGAAAUAUGAGGCUUCAAGUUCUAAUAGACUUUGAAAUUAGUUAUGCAGAACAAAAGAUCAUGAGGUCUUCUGCUAUUAUUAAAGAAACAGUUUUCAAGCAUGAACCAUCAUGACAAUGUGGAUGAGUAUUCUCACCAUUCAUCGCUCUCCAACAUGGUUAGUAAUAUCGGUCGAUUUCGAUAUGACUCAAUCGAGUUGUAAUAAGAACGAAGGAACUAGUAUGAUAUUGAUUCCUGAAUCAUGGAUAAUACUAUAUCCGCGGCAACUUGCUCUGACUCGGUCAAUAUUAGUCAAUUUAAAUCCGUGAUGUAUUGUGUCGACCGAUAUAUUCGAGUCAAUUCGGAUUCAAUUCUAAUUUUUUUUUCAAAUUGUAUUUUUUUAUAUAUUUUCUAAUUUUAGUAAUUUUUUUAGAUUUUUUUGAAAAUUUUUAUGUGUUAUAAUAUGUGUAUCACCCGAUAUACAAUCGAUAUACUGCUAUAAAUGUGGAACAACUAUGACUGCAGCGCAACCGCGACCCACGACGGGAACCACGCUCUCCAAUGACAAAAACAAAUAAUUCUUAAAGAACAAAAGUUCCUUCUCUACAUCUAUAGUCAUCUUAUACUGAUGAGUACUUUCUCUGCUUGCUGCAGUCUCUGUAAAGCUCCUCUGGAUGCGUUUAGCAUAUUCACAUGAAGAGUUUUCAAGAUACAAAGCUCUUUAGAUGUGUUUCGCAUACUCAUGUGAAGCCUUUUCAAGCUACAAAGUUACUGCCUUUGGCAAGACUACUGUCUACAUUCCAUUAACUAGCACGGUAACAAGGGAAUGAUGGGGUGUUAAUUAUCGAUUAUUUUAUUAUUAAUUUUUCCUCUUAUUUCAGAUAAAUAUUAUUUUAAUUAUUAAUAUUUACUUAUAUUUGAUACUUAGAUUUAAUUUCAGAAAAUAGAACAAAAAAUUACAAAAAAAAAAAGACUUUUUAAAGCAAAUUACUUCGUAUAUGGGAGUCUACUGCAAAGCUCAAUCAACGUAGCCCACGAGAGGGGACCAAAGCUGAUUUCCUUUUCCUUUUUUGGGGCUGAUGAAGAGAUGGCAGGGACGGAGAGUCCAAGGAGCAAUAGGAAACAAUAAGCAAUUCGGCAGGGCCAUUUUUUUGCAUUCUUUUCUCUUAAUUCGGCAGGGCUUUCGGCGGGUAGUUGGGACUCUAAUUUCGGGGAGGGGGGACCACCACUAGAUAGGAUUAGUCAUUUUCUUUUGGCUGAAGAGGGAAAAAUCGUACGGGGGCCAGGGACAUCUCUGUAGCAAUAGUUUUAGUUAGAGCUGUUAAUCGAGCCGAGUCGAGCCGAGUACUUGGCUGCCGAGCUCGACUCGAGUUUAAUUCGAGCCGAGCUCUACUCGAGCUCGUUAGGAAAACGAGCUUUAAAAUGUGUUCGAACUCGGCUCGUUAAAUGUACAUGUGGCUCGAGCUCGAGCUCGAGCUUGACUCGUUUAUCACAAACGAGUCGAGCUUCACGAGCUCGAGCUCGAGCUCGUGCAAAUUAACCUUAAUAAAAACCUAUAAUUUUUAAUUUUUAUAAUUUUGAUUUCUAAAAUGACAAAUAUGCCCUUCAUUAACGAGCUCUAACGAGCUACUCGAGUAUCAAACGAGCCGAAGCUCGGCUCGUUAACUAAACGAGCAUGUUUCGAGCUCGAGCUCUAACGAGCUUUCGAGCUACUCGAUUGACUUAACAGCUCUAGUUUUAGUUUCUUUUCUUCUACUUGGCAUGCGUGCCUUCUGUUCGAUGUAAUUUCAGACUAGAAAAAUAGCUUUUACCUCUUGCUUUUUGGUGACAAACGCGAUGCUUUUACCGUCAAUUAAUUUGCGUGAAGAUUUAUUUAUACGGCGUGACUAAAUUCUUCAUCUAAUCAAGGAUCAAUUUGAUGGCACAGUCUCGAAUAUAUGUGAGAUCUAAUUAAUUUUCACGCGUUUCUUAAUUUGUUAAUAUUUACACGUUAUCUAUUUGAAUUUUCAUGAAAUUAUUUUGUUAAUUGGAUGACAAGGGCCCGAUGUUCAAUGUGACUUAUUAAUCUCCUGUCAAAUUAAUCAAUUAAAUCCGUAAUUAUUUGAUUGAUUAAUAUUAGUAGCAACUGGCGUGUUUGCACCAUAGGGGAACGUGCGAUCUAAUUUAAAUAACUCUUGUAGCGUAUUAUUGAUUGGAGUUAGGUUUUUCUAGUUCUUAAUGCAAUUGAGAAAUUAAUUCUUAUGGUCGUACCUAAGAGUAUUUUCUGAUUAGGGGUAAUCAAUGGUCGUACCUAGGUUAUCAAUAAAUUAAGAAAAAAUUGGUCGUUAGAGUUCGUCGGCGACUAUAACUAGUCUAUUAAUAAAUUAAGUGAACUUCCCUUGUAUCAAUGAUCGGGUGAGUGGAUUGUGUCUGAGUAGUUGUAUUCUUGGUUAGAAUUUAUCUAUUCUUGAUUUAAUUCCUACUAUAUUCGUGCUAGUUAUUUAUUUAUUUUUAGUUGAAUUGUUUAAUUAUUUUUAGUUUCAUUAUAGUGAAAUCCCCCUUUACCAAUUGAAAUUUAAAAGAGACAAAUAUCCACAGUCCUUAAGGAGACGACCCUCCUUGCCAUUGUCUACUAUUUAAUAAUUUUUGUCAACUAAUUAAUUCUGGUAUAUCGGAUUAAACAAACUCUUCAGAACAAGGUGUGUUAGGAAGAAACACCUCGAGAGAGUCCACGAAAGAGCCCAAUAUGUAAGUUAAGAACCCAAUUCUGAUCCAAAAACUUAAGUUAUUAGGUCUUGGGUCCUUACUUACAUAUUAAUCGCUCUUUUUCCAUCUCUCGGACCAAUGUGGGACACAACCCUUUACUCAUGAACUUAACAGGGUAAAUCAAGUAACCCAUUGCAUACCUAAAGUCCCUGCUCCAGUACCUAUGAUUAAUUAUUGACUGUUUUUAGUGGUAGUUAGGUUUUAUUUUUAUUAUUGCACAGGCUCGACACCUGUCAGGGAAAAAAUAUAUGCUAAUCUUAUAAAGGAAGCCAGACAAGCUCAUUAAUCAUCAAAGAAAUCGCAACGUCAAUUAGUCAUCACAGAACAAGAUUUCAUCAAGAAACACCAUCAUCCCCCCAAACAAAAAUCAGAAGCAGUAAAAACUAUGUGUGAGAGAGAGAGAGAGUUAAACUAGUGUUACUGACAGAUUUUUGUCACCUCAGUAUUUCCGAGCCCUUAAUCCAAUCCAAUUCUCUUUGGAUCUCAAUCUGACAGUCCAUGGAACAUUUUCUGAAUGACAAUAUGCUGUCGCAACCUUCAGAGAAUUUAAAGGCUCUAUAGCUCUAUGGAGAGUCAUCUUCUUCAAAGAUUUUCCAUGCUGCAGAAAGUACCCUACUAGCUUCACUUCAUCUUUCUUCCCUUUAAAUUUUGUGAUUUCAAUCUGCCUAAGAUGCUCAACAAUGUGUACUGGGAAAACCGUUGAAAAGCAGAUCAAGUCCUUAUCUAUACAAAAGUCCUCCUUACACACCUGUACAUAUCGAGAACAUCAGAUGCAGCAGAACAUAACUAAUUGACUCUGUGACAAGAAUGUUUACUGCAGCUCACUCUGUUAAGGACUAGCACUUCAAGAUUGGCGGCGUUGUCAAAUAAGCAUGACAACCACAUUGCUAUAAAAUACAAGUCUCCCCACACCGAAAGAUCGUGGGGUCUUUAUCUUGGGUUUAAGGUCCAUAGAGUGCUCGUUUUAUCACCAAUUGACUGGAUCGGGUUGCUCUAUGGAUCCCUCUUAGAUUACUCGUUUCGAGUCGAAUUUUCCAUUAAUUCUCGUGCUUGUUCUAAUUGUGUGUGCGUGGAUUUCUUACUGUUUCAGUAAAAAACAAGUCUCCUAAGCAGAUUCCUUAGAUUAUCGUUGUUUUGAAAAAUAAAAUCGGUCCAAUAUGGUUGCCUGGAAUUGUUGUCUUAAUCUAUGCACAUCGUGUUUACUUGGCACGACGGGUCAAGCAGAUAUUUUUUUUUUUUUUUUUAAACCCAAAGGGCCGUCGCACCGACAAAAAGUAAAGCAAUGCCCAUCGCGUCGCACCACACCAUGCUGCCGCAACAGGCCUGACAGGAUUUUUUUUUUCCCCCAUAUUGUGUUUGGCUAGCGCGACGAGCGUGACGGAUUUUUAAAAAAAUAAAGAGAAACCUUUUUUGGGUUUAUUAAGUUUUAGCAGGUUAGGAUUUACAAUUUAUUAUAGUCAUCUAUAACAUACUUAAAUACUCAAUCAACCGUAAUUGUAUUAAAAAAAUUACUACAUGAAUUGCUAUUUUUAUAUUUAAAAAUUUAUAUAAAAUGCAUACAUAGUAAAUGUACUCUUAUAUGUCAUUAUUUGGCAUACCAUACUUAUACUAAACGAUUAUAUUAAUUAAAGCGGUUAUAGAUUUACUCAUACCUCUAUAUCUAUCAAAUUAAGAAACCCUUUUAUCCAAUUGUAGUGUUUCAUCAAAUAACUUGCACUUUUGUAUUUUGAAAGUAUUUAACAUUAUUCAACUUCAAAACGGUUAGAUUAAAAAAAAAAAGUAAAAUAGUAAAUAUAUGUCAAGAUGGUGCAGAAUACAUUGAAUGGAUGAGAUUUAAAAUACUGUAGAAGGCAACACAAUUUCAACGCCUCGCGAGUUUCUUGCAUUUAUCCUUACCCUUAACCUUCUCACGAGGUGCCGUGGGAGGACAACAAUAUCUAUUACAUAGUCAAUUUACCAUGACAGCUUUUAGCUUUUGCAUUGCUUUGGAGUACAUUAUUAACAACAUUAUCUGCACCUAUUUACAUUGUUAAUUACAUUGAUUAUGUCUAUUUAAGCUUUUGAAUUGCUCACAAAUAAGUACCUAUUGUUUAAAGUAUAAAUCUUCUACUUAAUUACUUUAAUCACAUAGUAAAACUACAUUGAUUGGUUAAUAACACUUAAACUAAUCCAUUCAUAAUCCUAUACUUAAUGAUAUGGCCAAUUUAUUUAGUAACUAACUAAUUUACCUACGUAGAAACUUGCUAAUUAACUACUUGCAUGUCCAAUUAAAAUACUUAAUACUACAUUAUUUGGCUAAUUAUUUAUACUAGUUAUUGAUUAAAACUACAUUAUUUGGCUAAUUAUUUACAAUGUUAAUCUAACAACACCAAUAUAAUACAUACAAUCAAUACAAUAAAGUAUUUUAAUACAGCAAUAAUUAAACACAAAACGAGAAUAAACAUUAAAGCACAAAACAACAUUAAAGCACAAACACCUGCAUAAAGUAAUUAAUAAUUAUGAAUGAUAACUAUCAAUAUAAUCAUGUAAAUAAAGUAUUCACAACAAAGGGCUUGCAAACAUGGCUGCCUGAAACAAUCGCCGGGAAACCAACGCUGAAGGUUAUGUUAGUUACAACGAUGAGGGCGGAGGAGAAAUUUGAUCCAACGAAAUUUUGAGCUUAGAGAGAGAGAGAGAGAGAGAGAGAGGGGAGAUAAGAAAUAAGUUUGGCAAAUGAACAAAGCAACUAGGACGCGAUGAUCCUUUUUUUUUUUUUUGGGUCUGUGCAGCACCAUUUUGUGUUUUGUUCUAGCUCACGGUGGGCCUAACGAGCCAAUUGUGUCAGUAGUACCAUUGCUCGUAGUAGUGAGCACGACCGGUCAAUUUUUUUUUCAAAAAAAAAAAAAAGGUACGACGACCAGCUACUAUUUUUAAAAAAAAACUCUGUGCCAAAUUUUUUUUUUUUUAAAAAAAAGAAAAGGUACCACAAGUAACUAUUAUUUAAAAAAAAAUAUUUUAUGAUGUCUACAUGGCACGAUGGGCAUAGAAGUAAAACACUCCUACAAACAAUCACAUUUGAUCGAUUUUUUUCAAAACAACGAUAUUCUAAGAAAUUGCUCCUUCUCGAGGAUGGUCAAAUUGUUGAAAUUUGGAAUAUAGAUUGAAAAUGACAAUGUGCCUUCAUGCAAAAGAUACGAUCAGUUUAAGCAUAAGUCCCUUUGUCUUUAAAAACUUCAAGAAAAUAUCUAAAAUGAAUCGAAAUAAACACAAAAAAGAAAAGGAAAAACACACCCUCAGACUCAAGUGAGAGAAAUAAAGGGAUUGCACAUUUUGCGGCUCACUUAUAAGUUUUGUCAAACUUCCUUUUUGGUCAAAGUUAAAAAUUUCAAAGACUAAUUUUGUUUAAAAAUUUAGAGACCAUUUUGGCAUAUUACUUGUACUUUGGGACUAAAAGUGCUUUAUUCCCUAUCUUUCGCAAAGAAGCAGUGUGCGUAAGGAAUCACAGAGACAUGCAUAGCGAAAAAUUUAAAAAUUUAGAUUCCUUUAAUAAAUCGAUCUUUGAUUAAAUCCAUGUCACAUAGAGUUGUUCAAGAAAAUUAUUUCAAUUCACAAAGAUCUUCUUGAAUUGAUGGAGAUUUGAUGCAGAGGAUGGUUGUAGAUACCAAAUUUUUCUUAAUUUUAAGUAUAUUAUUUCAUUUUUCACUUAAAUUGAGUGAAUAAUUGUUUUAAUUUUGUUUUGUAGGUUUGUGCAUAAAGAAAGAAAUCAAAGAAAAAUUGAUGCUCAAAAUUGGAAAUUUUUUGUAGAAGUAUUUUCUUGUGUUUCGAAACUCAAGCAAAAUCCAUGCAAAAAUCUACCCAAAAUCCAUGCAAAAACCCAACCCAAGUAAAGAAGCAAAAGCUUGGAAAGUAGGCUUGAAAAAAACAAGGCCCAUUGCCCAUUUCAAUCUUCCUUUAAAAAAAAUGCUGCCUUGUGCGAGCGUCUUCAAUUUUCCCGCAGCAACGCAGCAAUACAAAAAGGAAAAUAGCUGGAUUUUUUUUUAAAGCAAUUCAGAUUCAUUUUUUCUUCCCAUUUCUUUCCCCAAAGAUUAGUUCGUACCAGGACACCUUACCAUCAAAAAUCCAUCAAGAAAACAACUGGCAAAAUGGAUCAAAGGGACCAAAUAUUGCCACAAAACCUAGUUUCAUCUCAACCAUAAUUCUUAGGGUUUUAGUUCAUUGGUUUCAUUUAAAAGGCUGAAAAGUGGGUCUUUAGGGUUGAGGGAGAGGGUUAAGAAAAUCGGCAUGAUAAGGUUAACAGUAAAGAGUAUUUCAGAGAGAAGAAAGUAUGGAAGGAAUUCAGUGUAUCUUUGAAUGAGAAAUUUUUAGGCUAUAAAUAGCUGUACAAAGCAAACAGAAAAUACAAUAAAUAAGGAGUCUACUGCUAACAGUCUUCUAAACAGAAAGACCUAUUCUAAAGCAAAGAAUCCCAAAUAAAAUGGGAUUUUAUUUAUUGGCUAAUAUUGACUAAAUCUAACAAUUCCUCCUUUAAACUAAAUGCUGAAAGAAUUUAGUUUAGGGCAAAUUUCACUUUACCUCCCUGUGAUUUAGCAUUUUUUCACAUAACCCCCCUAUAGUUUCAAAAGCUAUAUAUAACCCCCUUAUGGUUUGGAUUAAAGUGUCAAAGUAACGGAAAUAGUCACUCGUAACGGCGUUACCUAAAAUGUCAAAAAUACCCUUAUGUAUAGUUGAAAUUUAUGUAUUAACCAAUGGGGGUUAUAUGUAUAUUUUGAAAAUCAUAAGGGGGUUAUAUGGUAAAGGGUUAACAACAUAAAAGGCCCCUGUGGUAUAGCUAUCAUACAGAAAAACCCCCUGUGGUUUCAUAUCAUACGUGUCAGUACCUCAUGGUUUGAAUUAUUCUGAAAUAUCGACGGAAAUCAUCAAAUGUAACGGAGUUAAGUGAAACGACGAAAAUACCCUUUUAAUAUAAGCGAAAAUUGCAGAAGUAUCUUGUACUGGUAUCGAUACUAAUGCUUCUCUCUCUAAUGCUCAAGAUUCUGAUCGAUCUGAAGGCGCAAGUGUUUCUGAAUGUCUCCAUGGCGAGGUUGAUAUUGGCAGUCAUGAAACUUUUCAACCAAAUGGGGAUCAAACCAAUAGAACAGCAAAAUCUGGGAUAGUGUCUCAGUUGGUUGAAAGCAAAAAGUGAAUGCCGCCAGACCAAUGGUAAUGAUGUGAUGUAGAUUGAUAUUCCUAAUGAUUUGAUGCAGGUUGAUAUUCCAGAUACUAAGUCUUUAGAGGACUAGAAAGAUAUAGGAGUUGGAGAACAGUACCAGCAUGAUGGACAGGUUAACCAUAAAGAGCAAGAUUUAUCAAGUCCAGAAAAUGCUUCUGAGACGGACCCAACAGAAAGAAUGGACGAGAAAACAGAAAAGCUUCCAAGCUUGCUGAGUAUACAUCAAGCAGGAUAUGUUUCACCACCACAGAAUGAAAAUGAAUUCUCCAUAACAGAUUUAGUUUGGGGAAAAGUCAGAAGCCAUCCUUGGUGGUCUGGACAAAUAUCUGAUCCUGCUGAUGCUUCAGAGAAGGCAGUCAAAUAUUACAAAAUGAACUGUUUUCUCGUAGCAUAUUUUGGAGACCGAACUUUUGCUUGGAAUGAUGCAUCUCUCCUAAAGCCCUUCCGGCCACAUUUCUCUCAGAUAGAGAAGCAAAGUAACUCAGAAGCAUUUUAAAAUGCUGUUAGCUGUGCUUUGGAUGAGGUUAAAAGACGUGUUGAGCUAGGUCUAGCCUGCUCUUGUAUACCAAAGACAUGCAUAUAAAAGAUUGAAUAUCAGAUUGUUGAAAACACUGGGAUCCAAGAGGAAUCAAGCAGAAGAAAAGGUGUCGAAGGGUAAAGUUCUCUUGUUAUUAAAGUGUGAAGGGUAAAGUAGGCAUAUUAGGAACAAGUUUGUGGUAGAAAUCUAUUUUUCACAAGAAACACGCGCAUUUCCGGUGCGUUUAAGACAAACGCCAUACAUUUGACGAUUUCCGUCCAAUUUUCAAAAUAAUUCAAACUAUGAGGUACCGACACGUAUGAUAUCAAACCACAGGAGGCUUUUCUGUAUGAUGGCUAUACCACAGGGGGCUUUUUUGUUUUUAACCCUAUGGUAAAAUAUAAAAAUUAUACGGGGGUUAUAUGGUAAAAUUUUUAGAAGUUCCGUUACGAGUGACUAUUUCCGUUACUUUGACACUUUAAUUCAAACUAUGAAGGGGUUAUGUAUAGCUUUUGAAACCAUAGGGGGUUAUAUAAAAAAAGGGUAAACCACAGGAGGGUAAAAUGUAAUUUACCCUUUAGUUUAUACUGUUCUCUGCACAAACGCCAAGCAUAGUACGCAGCUUCAGAAAAUCAUCCAACUUAAGAGGCUUUGUCAUCACAUCAGCUAUUUGUUCCAAAGUAUUGCAAUGAACUACCUCUAUCAUACCUGCCUGUGCGAGUUCUCGAAGGAAAUGGAAACGAACAUCUAUAUGCUUGCUACGACCAUGCAUAACUGGGUUUCUUAAGAGCUUGAUUGCAGAACUAUUGUCACAAUGGAUAGUAUUUUUCUCUUACUGAGGCUGAUCCAGCGUUUUGAGCACCCUUUUUAACCAAAUUGCUUGACAAGCACAAGCAGCAGCAGCAAUAAAUUCAGCUUCGGUGAUAGACAGGCUCACAAUAGGUUGUUUCUUAGAAGACCAUGAUAUAGCUCCUAAACCGAAGAGAAAAACAUAGCCUGAUGUAUUUUUUCUAUCAUCCAAGUCACCCGCAUAAUCACUAUCAGUGUAUGCUAUAAGAUCAUCAUUUCCUCCCUUCUUAUAGAAAAUUCCAUAUUCAGUUGUUCCUUGCAAAUACCUCAACACUCUCUUUGCCAGUUGCAAAUGAAGCUGAGUAGGAUUCUCCAUAUAUCUGCUCAAAAGACUUACUGCAAACAUCAUAUCUGGACGAGUCGCAGUAAGAUACAUAAGACAGCCUACAAGUUGUUUGAAGUGAGUCUUGUCCACCUUAAUUCCUUUUUCAUCCUUGCAAAGCUCAGAAUUGCUUUGAUUCAUUUCAAAACGUUGCAACACCUCCUGAGCAUACAUUCUUUGACCGAUAAAAAUUUCACCGGAUUUCUGCAAAACUUCGAGACCCAAAAAAUAUUUCAUUUUACCAAGAUCAGUCAUAUCAAACUCAUUCUUUGUCAAGUUCUGAAACUCAGUAAACAUCAGCUCAUCAUUUCCUAUGAAAAGAAGAUCGUCAACAUAUAAACUUACAAUGAGCAUGCUGCCCUCCAUGUUUCAUUUAACAAAAAGGGUAUGCAUAUAAUCACAUUUUUGAAAACCUUCCUUCAUGAAAUAUGUUUCAAUACGGCUGUACCAAGCACGCGGAGCUUGUUUAAGCCCAUAAAGAGCUUUCUUCAGCUUGUACACUUUUUCCUCCUUUUCCUUUUGAAUGUAACCACACGGCUGCUCAACAAAAACAUCUUCAACCAGUUCUCCAUGUAAAAAGGCAGACUUCACAUCUAAUUGAUAGAUAGCCCAUCCUUUUUGUGCUGCUAAAGCGAUCACCAAUCGAACAGUCUCCAUACGAGCCACUAGAGCAAACACUUCUGUGUAAUCUAUACCAUAUUGUUGUGCAUAUCCUUUUACAACCAGCCUCGCCUUAAACUUGUCGACUUCUCCCUUUUCAUUAAGUUUAGUCUUGUAGACCCACUUGACUCCAACUAUUUUGACUCCUUUUGGUCGAUCGAUUAGUUCCCAUGUGCCAUUUUUCUCAAUCGCCACAAUCUCAGCAUCCAUGGCAUUUCUCCAUUUUUCAUUCUGUACAGCUUCUUCAUAACUAAAUGGAUCGGCAGUCGCUGUAUAUGAGGAAAAAAAUGUUCCUGCCUCUUCAUCAGACAAACCUUCACCUGAAACAUAAUCUUUCAACCAACUUGAUUGUUUCCUACUCCUCCCUUCCACGGGAUCUGGAGAAGUUUCUUGAUUAGUGGCAAGAGAUUCCUCUGACUGUGUGUCAGCAGCAUCUUCUUCUACAUGAGAUUCUUCAGUCACUACCUUUUCAUCAUCUUCCCAUUCCAGCUCGCAAGUAACAGCUGAUUCAUGUUGCUUGUCCCAUUCCCAUUCUUCACAUUCUUCAAAAACUACAUCUCUGCUCACCACAAUCCUUUGUGAGAUAGGAUCAUAGAGCCUAUAUGCCUUUGAUUCCUCGCUAAUUCCUAGUAAAACAUAUUUCAAGCUUUUCUCAUCUAGUUUAGUUCUCGAACUAUCAGGCACGUAAGCAUAGGAGACACAACCAAAAAUUUGAAAUGUUGAACUGAUGGCUUGAUUCCGCUUCAGGCUUCUUCGGACGUUUUGUCCUUUACAACCAGCAUUGGACUACGAUUUAAAACGUGCACAACCCAAUUUACUGCUUCUGGCCAGAAAGUUUUGGGCAUGUUCUUUUCAGAUAGCAUGCUACGAACCAAAUUCAUGAUAGUUCGAUUCUUCUGUUUUGCAACACCAUUUUGUUGUGGUGAAUAUGCAGCUGUCAAUUGUCUUUACACUCCAUGUUCCUUGCAGAAAUUGUUGAAUUCUCGAGAUGUAAACUCUCCAUCACAAUCCGUAUGCAACAUUUUUAGAGACAUAUCUGUUGCUUUCUCAACAUGUAUCUUGAAGCUCUUAAAAAUGGUAAAAGCUUCUGAUUUUUCUGCCAAAAAAUACACCCAUGUUUUUCGGCUAAAAUCAUCAAUAAAAGUAAUCAAAUACCUUUUCUUGCUAUUCGAGGCUGGCUUAAUUGGUCUGCAAAUGUCGACAUGAACUAGCUGCAGAAUCUGAGAUGCUCUCCAAGAACUUUUCGUUGGAAAUGAAUCUCAAUGUUGCUUCCCCACCAGACAAUCUUUGCACAGCUUAAGUAAUGGUAGACCUUUCACCAUUUGUUUUUUCUGCAAUGUUUGUAAGCCUUUGAAGCUUAAAUGCCCAAACUUGCAAUGCCACAGCUGCGCUACAUCUUCUGUGACUGUGUUAAAACAAGUGGGUUCUAUAGGCAAAGAGAUGGCAUGCAAGAUGAACAUUCGAUUUGCAGACAUAUUAGCUUUCAUGAUCAAUCCUUUGUCAGGAUGAUAUAUUUUGCAUUGCCCUUGUUGGAAUAAAAUGCUCAGCCCCUUCUCUUGCAAUUGUCCCAGACUCGGCAGAUUAUUCUUCAAUUCCGGAACAUAAAAGACUCCUGAGAUGAUGCUAACAACUCCAUCAAUUUCCAACCUGAUGUUGCCCUUCCCAUUGUCCACCAUGUUUGAAUUAUUUCCCAACUUCACUGAAUCUGUGAAUUUUUCAUCAAAAUCUGAAAAAUAUUCUCUUUUUCCACUCAUGUGAUUGCUGUACCCAGAGUCAAGAAACCACAUGUCUAUUUUGUGUUGCUCCUUUUCUUCAACAUAAGCCAUCAGCAGCAUGUGUUCUUCACUCUCCACUUGACUCUCUGCAAAAUUGGCCUUUCCUUUCUUGCAUUCCCACUGAAAAUGACCAAGCUUGUGACAAGCGUAACACUUCACAAUUGCUUUGUCAAAGCUUUGUCUGCUUCUUCCACGGCCUCUGCCUCCAAAGCUCCCACGCCCUCUCCCUCGUCCUGCAUAUUGGUUUCCAUGAGUCACCUUCAGUGCAUGUUCUUCAUGUACAGUGUUACUCAUACGUUGUUCGUGCACGAGCAAACUGCUUUGCAGCUCAUCAAUUGACAAAAUACUUGUAUCCUUAGAUUCUUCAAUUGAACAGACGACAUAAUUAAACUUAGGUGUCAUUGACCUCAGAAUCUUUUCCACAACAGCAAUAUCUUUCAACUCUUCACCAUUUGCUUUCAUCUUGUUGGUGAUGACAAGAACACGAGCAAUGUACGCAUUCACAGAUUCUCCUUCCUUCAUGUGAGCAAUUUCAUACUCCUUUCGCAAUGCCUAUAGAUGAGCACGUUUUACUCGUGUUGUUCCUUGAUAUUUCUGCUUCAUAGAGUCCCAAAUACUCUUUGACGUAUCUUUGUUAACGAUAGUCUACAAAAUGGAACGAUUUAACGCCUGAAACAUAUAGUUCUUAACUUUGAGAUCCUUCAACUUCUGCUCUUCACAAGUUUUCUUUUGUGCCUCAAUUAAAGUCACACCUUCUGCUGCUGCAGAAACUCCAUUUUCUACCACAUUCCAGUACUCCUUUGAUCGAAGAAAAUUUUCCAUAAGCAUCGCCCAAUGAUUGUAGUGACCAUCGAACCUAUGCACUGCUGGUUGAAUAAAGGCACCCUCUGUUGCUAUUUUCGUUGCCGAAACUCCCUUAGAAGACUGUUGCUUCUACCUACCGAGCCUCUUGCGAGGCUCUGAUACCAAAUGAUAAGGUUAACAGUAAAGAGUAUUUCAGAGAAAAGAAAGUAUGGAAGGAAUUCAGUGUAUCUUUGAAUGAGAAAUAUUUAGGCUAUAAAUAGCCGUACAAAGCAAACAGAAAAUACAAUAAAUAAGGAGUCUACUGCUAACAGUCUUCUAAACAGAAAGACCUAUUCUAAAGCAAAGAAUCCCAAAUAAAAUGGGAUUUUAUUUACUGGCUAAUAUUGACUAAAUCUAACACGGCAAAAGCUACAAAAGACAGAAAAAGAAAAGAAAUGGGAAGAGAGAAUUUUUUUCCCAAAAAAAGCUGUGAACAGGGUUGAUGAAUUAGCCCUAUUUCUCACCUAAAUCCGACUUCAAUCGUAGUCCUUUACGAGAGAACUUUGUUUCUACACAAUCUAGGAUCCUCGAGAAACAACUUUAGUUUUGAAAAUUUUUAGAGAAAAUGUCUCCAAAUCCUUCAAAUCAAGGCUUGAAUUUGUCACUUCAUUAACACUUGAAUCUCCACAAUAGGAGCUUGUUUGCUUCGUUUCAAGAAUUUGGGUGCAUUUUCUUGAGACUUCCUAUGUUUAUUCGAGUCCACAAGCAUCUAUAGGUGACUACAGCUUCUUCUCUUGAUUGAUUUAACGAUUUGCAUGAAGUUUUUAAGCCCUCACAUGAGUUUCAAGGGUUUGAGCCUUAAAUCUCAUUUUGCAUGAUUUAUGAUGUUUAGGAAUUUGGUUUAAUGAUUUGUACGAGUUCACAAAGUUGCAAGGAUCAUGCUUGAACCAAAACUAGACCCUAAGUGCUCUUGGAAGUUUUUUCCGGCGAGAUUCUGGCUAUUUGGUCUGUUCUUGGUUCCACCGGAAGCUGGUUCGUAGUUCUUCCUUUUCAUUUUUGCUUGUCUUUCUUUGUUUGAUCCUUUAGGAGUUGGAGUUUGUUAUUGGGUCUUGUUAAAAAAAUGGGCUAACGUUUUAUGCUGCGUUUUGGUUAAUAUGUUGUUGGGUUCUGAUUUUUCUUUCUACGCGUGGGCUAUGAUAUUUAUCUACCAGGCUACUCACUAUUUUGUUUGGGCUAGGACACUAAAGCCCAGAUUUAGCCUAGUUAAUAAGGAAUGGCUUUGUAAUCUAAAUCAAGACUAUUGUUUCCUUUCUUUCUUCUGUUUAUUAUCUCUUUGGUAAUUUUAGACGUUUAUGCACUUUUGAUGUGUUCUGAAAUUUCGGUUAAGUGAAUAGUAUGUUAUUUGCUGAUUUGAUUCUAUGAGAAAAUAUGUUUGCAAUUUGGCUUUCCAAUUUUUGCAUAAUUACACUAGGGCCCAAAAUUAUGAAAAAUGGAUAUAUUUCUUCCCCUUUAAAGUCUUGAUUUCUCUUCAUAUGUUUUAUGCAUGUUUUGAGUAAAUUAAUUAUGGUCUUUAGAAUAUAAUUGUGACUUUGAAUACAAUUUAUUGGUUUUUAAUUACAUAAUUUUAGAAAUUUAUACAAACGAUUUAGAUAAGAAGUAGGCUGAUGUGUUGUUUUUUGUUGGGUUUGUGACAUGGGCUUUGAACUCAAGCCCAAUGUCUUAAUAGGUGUAAAGUUGUAAAGAUGAAUUGGGUUGGACUGUUUUUUAAAUAAGAUGGAUGUGCUUAUUUUUCUUGGAUCAAAAUGACACAACCUAACAUUUUUUUUUGUUUAUGUAAUAAAAAACAAAUUUUAUAAUUUAGCCCCUGAUUUUUAAGUAAAUUUAUUAUAACCCUAAAAUUUUGAAUUUCUUUUAUUUACGUCCUUAAUUUAAUUGCAUUUUAGCCGCUAAUCUUUUGAAAAUUAUAAUUUGACUCCAAAAACUUUUCUAAUUUUUAUAAUUUAGUCCUUAUUAGUUUUUUAUUUUUCAAUUACAAUUGUUUCUCUUCUUUAAUUGCUAAUUAUUUUUCAUUUAAAUGUUUUUAAUUUAUAAAUUUUGUUUGCUUUAUGUUUAUUUACAUUUUUCACAAUAAAAAGGGGAGUCUAGUAUAUGUUUACAUUCUCUUUCAAAAUUGUCAAUUAAAUUGGUGUAUUAACCCUUGUGUUGAUUUUGAAAAAAUAGAUAACUCUCCCUUCCUCUUAUUUAGCUGCUACUUCAAAAGGAAGGUAUACCUAUUAUCCUUUAAAUUAUUUUAUGUGCUCUUAUGUGUUUAUAUGUUUAUGUCUUUUUUCUUCAUUUAUGUAUUUUAAAUUUUUAUUCAUUUUGUACUUGUUUAAUUUAAGUCUUAUGAUUAUUUGUAGGGUAUUUAAAUACCCAAAAUGUAAUAGAUAGGUAAUAUUCUCUUACUCAAGAAAUAUAAUUAGAUAGCCAAUGUAAUAUAUAGGUUUUAUUUUUAGCAAGAAAUGUAAUUAGUUAGAUAAAUGUAAUAGAUAUGUUAGAUAGGUUUAUUAUAUUAUAUUUUCCCUUUUAAAUUGUAGUUAGGACACCCAAUAUAAUAGUUAAGUUUUAUGUAUUUGUGUGUUUAUGUGCUUAUGUGUUUUAUUCGCUUUCUGUAAAAUUUUGCAUCUUGAUAUUAUGCUAUGUGUUAUGUGCUCUACAUAUUAUAUGUGAUUUUAUGUGUUUAUUUGUUUUAAUUAUGCUCUAUAUGUUUUAUUUAUUUAUAAUGAGUGCAUGACAUCACCAUACUAGUCCAAUGUUAGUUAUGAUUUUUCUCUCUGAUUUCUCACUAGUCCAACGCUAGUGAGAGAUUGUAGAUUUUUAUUCUUGGGCGCGACCUAUUCUAUGGAAAAAAAGAAGUCCAAAACAGAGAAAUAUAACUUGACUCAUAUCACAGAACAUGCCAUAUCUACCCAACCACAUGUCUUUACAUGUUCAUAUGUCCACUUAUACAAGCCAGAAACUGUCCCCCGUGAGCUCUUAAAUGCUAUGGUACCUCCAAACAGUCCUACCACAUUUCUUUACACGUUCUUUUGUGCACUCAUUCAAGCUGCAACUACACCCACCACGAGCUCUUUAAAGGCUAUCGUACCCAAGUUUGCUGGUGAGAGCAAUUUACGAAAACUUGCAUAUAGAAUAUUCAUGAACCGCAUAACUAGCCCAUUUAUAAUUUCACUAAUCCUAACUGAAUGUACUGAUUAGUAAAAUUGCAUUUGAUACCUUCAUCCAAUUCAAUCGGUUAAUCAAUGAUCAAUUAACCCUUAGGAUAAGGUUGGAUGUAUAGGAUAACCUAACCUUCUUCUACUUAUAAGAAAAAAAAUUAGAUUAACAAAUCAAAUAAUACAAUAUUUUUCCAAAUCGAUGAGAGUACUCAAUCCUACAACUCUAAAAAACUAUCAACAAAAUAGAAAAUCAAAGCACAUCACAUAAUUAAAACACCGAAUAUUUCAAAUAUUUUGUUUUCAUUUUCUCUAGUUCUUAAAAGCUAUCAAUUUAUUUUUUAAUAAAGAUGAUAGGUUACUCCACAACCAAACACGUAAGUUUCAAAUAUUAAAAACAAAACAAUUAGUAGAGUGACGAAAUGCAUAGAAUUUGUGAGAAAUGAAAAGAAGUUUUUAAAUAAAAACAAGAGAAAAAGAGUGGCAAAGUGUGUAAAAUGAACAAUUGAGGUCGGCAUAGUGAUAAGAAGAGGAUUAUUAAUCUUUUCCGCUAUUAAAUUCAGGAUUCAAAUCCCAUACCUGAUAGAUAGAGGUGGAUAGGGUGGAAGAGUAAAAAAGAAAAAAGUUAAUUUAUAAAAAUGGAAAUUAGUGACAAUAAAUGUAGGAAGUGGAAAAGGUAAAUGGGAGAUAGACUUAGAUAAAUAAUUUUUUAAGUUUUGAAAAACAAAAUAUAAUGAUCCUUCUAACUCAAAUUAUUAGUAGAUGACUAAAUAAUUUUAGUUUCCAAUUUGGAUACUGGUUACCCAAAACAACUGCAUAUCCUACACAUAUGCGAGUAGUUUCAAUAAUCGUAGUCUUUUAAAACUGAAAAUCAUAUCCUAACCUAAUUUUUUUUAGCAAGUUCGGGUAAUCUAGCCAUUUCAAAAAUUAUAGAUUGAAUACCCUAUGUUUCGAUUUGGAUCAAUUCAGUUUUCUCGAUUAACCGACUUUUUGAUACUUUUUCAGCACCCCUACUUACAGAGUUCAUUGAUUAAUAUUUGUCCCAUUCCAUCCACGGCCACAUAAACCCAAUGCUCCAAUUUUCUAAAAUUUUGCAACAUGAAGACACCAAAAUUACGCUCGUUACAGCUGAAUUCUUGCUUAAAACCGAGCAAGAAGUCUCAAAUUCUAUCUCAGUGGAGAACAUCUCUGAUGGAUAUGCUCCUAUUUUUUUGUCUGCUUUUGUGGUUUCCUGUGGAUGAAGGUUAGUAAACUAUCGUAAAAGUCUUUAGACUUUGGUAAAAAAGAUUAGAAAGUUUGCCCAAAAUGUCCAAAACAGACAUUGUUAUUUUAACCACUGGGCCAAUGGCUCAGUGGCCACCAGGGAGGGACUUAAGUCACUCCUUGGGCUGUAGGUUGAGGGUUCAAACCUCACCUGCAGCGAAAAAAAUCUAAGAGUUGUGUCAUAGCACUCCCUUGGUCUAGUUGGGUCUGUAUACCCACUAGCCCUCACCACAGCCUCCUUAGGCUCCACCUCCCCCUAGAUUAGGAUAGAAUAUGUUAUACAAAUGUAUCGUUACUGAAAAAAAAAAAAGGAGAACAUCUCUGAAAUUGACAGGUGUCGAGCCUGUCCAAUAAUAAUUACCUACUCGAGAAAAAUACAGAUUUUGUAUAUAGCGGUGAGUAGGGUCGAAUCCACAGGGAUUGGGGAUAACUUAUUUCUUUUAGAGUCCGAAGUAUGGGGGGUUUCUGGAGAAUAUGAAAUAACUAAUUAACUAACUAAUAAAGCAACUAAUAGAAAUAAAUAGAAAGUAAUCAAUAACCAAUACGACUCUAACCAAAGGUACAACUUUUCAGAUACGGUCCAUUCAACUGAUCAUCGAUGCAAAGAUAUUUCAUCCAUUUGUCAUUAGGUUGGUUAUAAUUAUCAACAAGCUCUGAUAACCAAUUCUUCCUUACCUUUUCGACAGUCAAGGUACGACCAUUAACUGCUCCCCUAACCAGAUAACAACCCUAGGUACGACCGUAGGAAUUUAAUUAUCCAAUUGCAUUAGAGCUAGAAGAACCCAACCCUAACCAAUAAACACGCUAAGAGGGUUUAUUUAAGUUAGAUCUUGCGUUUCCCCAUCAUAAAGCCAAUUAUGGUGGUUGCCACGGGGUGUUAACUAAAUGAACAAUUACGGAUUCUAUUUAAUUAACGUGGCAGUAGGCUAUUAAAUUAAAUCAAAUACCCGGCCGUUGAUAUUCAAUUAAUAAAAUACCCAUGAACAAUUAAUUCAGGAAACGCACGAAUAGCAAUUAAUUGGAGGAAAUAAUGAAGAUUCGGUUAGAUCUCACAGAUAUUAUGGACCGCACCCUCGCGUCGACCUUUGGGUAGAGGAGAAAAUUAGCCGCUCCUCAUCGUGUCAAUCCCGCGUGAUUUAAUUGAAUUCAUUCAAUUAAUUUCCCAAGAAUCAAUUGCCCAGAAAUUGGGGAGGAUGAAUUAAUCGAAGAAACAAUCAAUGAAAAACCUGGCUCUGUCUUGUAUUGGAGCCGCAAUUACAAAGCAAAAGCCAACGGAGAAUUGUCAAAGGCGAAAAGAGCGAAUUCGGGAGUCAGAGUCGCAUAAAAGCAAAAGCUACAGAAAAGGAGAAAGUCUCCAAUGUCUGACCCAAAGCCGCAGAAGAAAACAAAAGAAAAACAAAAGCGUCUGACCAAUCUUGCAAAAAGGUAAAACUAAGGCUAAAAGUAGUGAUGAUCCCUGAAUCCUGCUUUUUUCCUCCUUUUAUAGCCGCCGCAGGAGCUCUCCAGACGUCUGGCCCAAUUCCUCCCAACAAAAGCUAGCCUUUUGGAGUUUUUAUCCCAUGUUUCUCGCGGUUCACGUGGACCGCAGUCCGGCUUUCGGUUUCGUCCACCUUCUAAGACGUGGCCACGCCCUGAGACGAAAAGUCUUCUGGAAAUUUACCCCGCGAGAUCAUUUUUCAUGCCUACCACCUACAAUUCACACAAAUAUCGAAUAUGAGUGAAAUUCCAAUUCUUAGUACCGUGAAUAGCCAAAAUUAGGACAAAAUAACAGUGCAAAAUACGCCAAAUAACCGUUCUAUCAAAUCCCCCCACACCUAGACAAUGCUUGCCCUCAAGCAUUUCGGAGCUCAAAAGUACAACCAAGAGAGCAGAAGUCAUGUAGUAGUCUAUACUAAUACAAGUCUUUCAGAUCCCUGACAAUAUCUCCAAAAUUAGAACACACCGGACAGGUUGUAACUCAAAGAAAAUACAUGAAUACUAGGAAUGCUCAAAUCAACAUCACAGAAUGGCAUUACCAUAGGCUUGCACAUUUAUCACAUCUCCACCACUCAAAAGUGAACUAAAUACACAAAUCAAAGGGACUUUAAUUGGGUUGUAAUGGGGUUUAGGUAAAAGGCGGGAUAAGAAGGUAAAAAUAGGGUGUAAUGUGUCAAGAGAAUGUCCAAUAUCCACUACAUAACCACAAUGCUUUACCGGGGCAAUUUCUCAAGUAUGGCGUUUUCAUUUGCUGUUUUCAUUGUGCAAGUGUCGAAAAUCGUUCCUCUAUUUUUUAUUUUUUAUUUUUUUUGGAGAGGACGUCUAGCACGGCGUGGGCACGCCCUGGAAGACAGAGUCUUCUGCUCACCAGCUUUUUGCCGAUUUCUCCCCUCUUUUUUUUUUCUUCUUUUCUCUAUUUUUUUCUUGGCUUUUCUUUCGAUAUCAGAUGUACAGAAACAGCACCAUACAACAUCUUUUUGACAACACUUGCGCCCAUAGAUUUAUUUGCCUUGCACAAGUAAUGAAUUUCAGACAUCCCUUAAUGACACAAGGUUGAACAAGAAAGUCUAAAAAGGUCAUGGGUUAUCAAACACGGCUAACAAGCAAAAGUAAAGGACAAAAGUUCAAGUUGGUUCACUAUUGGGAAAUAAGAUGAAGGCAUGGUUUGUAGAAAGUUAAAGAAGGUCAAAUCCUAAAUGCCCUUAUCAUUUCAAAUGCAUCCAAUUCAACAAAAUGUGGUCUUGACAUGUAUAAAAUAGCAAGUUCUAGAAUGUCAAUACCAUGUGCGAUACCCACUCAAUCAAACAAAAAUAGAGUAAACAAGAAUAAUAUGCUCAAGUAAGGCUCAAAAGCUCCCAAAAGUUUCAAGAAUGGGUCAAGUCCAGCAUAUUCAACAUUCAACACUAUUGUCAAGAAGAAACAAAAUGCAUAGCUAGUAUAUAUAACCACAUACCCGUGCACCUUGAUUGUGCAAUCCAUUAUAGCAACAUGCUCUAGCAGUUAACAAAUAUAGGACUAGAGAAGUCAACUAACUACACUUUUUUUUUCUUUUCUUUUUUCUUUCUUUUUUAUUUCAUUUUUCUCCUCUUUUUUUGUGUUUCUCUUUUUUUUUUUUUUUAAAGCAAAGCAAAAGGAGAUAAUAAUGGAAGCCAUCCCCCCACACCUAAUACCUACAUUGCCCUCAAUGUAGAAAAGAUGAAUGAAGUAUAAGGAGAAAAGGAGAGAAACUUCCCUGACCACCGAGAAGAUGCAGCGAGACACUAAGACGAAGGAGGGUGAGAUGGCUGGAAUCCAAUGUGAGCAAAGAAAAUUGUCUGAUGAGAGAGAGAGUCUCUAGCGGCGGUGGACAAGGGGGAAUCCUGGGACUAAAACAAAACAAAGAAGAUUGAAAAGUAGAAGCUGAGACAAUGGAAAUUGACAAGACCAUACAAGACAAGAAAAGAGAAAAGUAGAAAGUGGGAUUAGAGAGGGUCCUGGUCAAUCUUUGACUUUCGUUGGCGCAAAGGCUGGAAGGCGUGGGCACGCCUUAGAAGCUAUAGUCUUCUGACUGUCAAUUCCAAAACUUCACUGCUUAGGCGUGACCACCUAGUGUGGGCAUGUCCAACUGCCAGCUUCCUGCCACAAAACAACAAUCCACUAAAUGACAUUAACACUUAAUAAAAAUUCCAAAAAUAUAAGAAAACUAAAGCAAAAGAAUCCUUGGGUUGCCUCCCAAGCAGCGCCUUUCUUUAAUGUCUUUGGCUAGACAUCGUCAUGUUUAUUCACGGAGGAUAAAAUCGUGUAGCUCGUUUCAGUGCUUCAUCUUCUAUGUAAUCCUGAUAGCCCUCGUAAAUAGAGUAAUUCUUGAGUCCACGAGCUACGGUCUUCCAUGGAUUAGUAGAUGGCGGCAAACAAACAAGUGAUGACACUAAAUCUUCAGUCACUCCUCCAUCACGAGCACUUAGUGGUUCGAGAUAUUUUGCCAUCGCAACCCUUAACUUAUUCCUGUCAUAAAAUUUAAAAUCUUCUGGUAUAAUAAAAUCAAUUUCACCAACAGGAAUUGAAGAAUAAGAGUUAGAAAAAUAUUGAUUAAGGAAUGGAGGAGAUGUCACCGCAUUUGGAGAUUGUUCACUAGAUUCAUUCAUUUGAACAAUUUGAUAUUGGGGUCUCAUGUCUUGCACUUCAACUUUCUUUUCAACUGCAUCUUUAGAUCCUUCUUCAUGAGACUCUUGCAGUUUCAUGUCAUUUGUCAGGAUAAUUAUACCCUCAUCUUCUUCAUGGUCGAUAAUAGUCACUGAGGGCAAUUCUUCACAAAAUGGAGAAAUCAAUUUGCUCAUUGUAGAUGCCAAUUCACGCCUUCCAUCUUCCAUCUCUUUAAUCAACCUUUGUGUCUCCUGUUGAAAUUGACGUGUCUCCUGUUGAAUUUGAUAUGUCUCCUGUUGAAUUUGAUGCGUCUCCUGUUGAAUUUGAUAUGUCUCCUGUUGAAUUUGAUAUGUGUUAGUAGCUAUUAAUUCAACUAUUUCUUCAAGAGACAUAUCUGACAUGGAUGACGGUCCUUGAGACUCUAGCUGUUGAAAAUCUAUUAGCCUUUGUUCAUAAUUAAAAGUGGAAUCAUCCCACCAUCCUUGCUCAUACCCGUUUGAAUAAGGGUCAUGCCACGUUUGAUAUUGAGGUGGAAAAUCCCCAAAAGUAUCGAUUGGAGUACUUCGACCAUCUUAAAAUGCAGGGCAUAUGUCGGGUGAAAAAUUCGAAGCAAAAUAAGCUCCACAAUUUGCAACAGCCCAUUGAUCAUUAGAAAAAGUAUGAGUCUCAUGACCCCUUGUAAAAUUAAAAUCCAGUCUAUCACCAAAAUACGGAAUGUUAGCAGCCAUAAAAUAUAUACAAAAAAAAAUAAGAGAAAAAUAAAAAAAAAUGAACUAAAAAAGAAACAAAUUAAUCAGGCACCAGUCCCCGGCAACGGCGCCAAAAAUUGACAGGUGUCGAGCCUGUCCAAUAAUAAUUACCUACUCGAGAAAAAUACAGAUUUUGUAUAUAGCGGUGAGUAGGGUCGAAUCCACAGGGAUUGGGGAUAACUUAUUUCUUUUAGAGUCCGAAGUAUGGGGGGUUUCUGGAGAAUAUGAAAUAACUAAUUAACUAACUAAUAAAGCAACUAAUAGAAAUAAAUAGAAAGUAAUCAAUAACCAAUACGACUCUAACCAAAGGUACAACUUUUCAGAUACGGUCCAUUCAACUGAUCAUCGAUGCAAAGAUAUUUCAUCCAUUUGUCAUUAGGUUGGUUAUAAUUAUCAACAAGCUCUGAUAACCAAUUCUUCCUUACCUUUUCGACAGUCAAGGUACGACCAUUAACUGCUCCCCUAACCAGAUAACAACCAUAGGUACGACCGUAGGAAUUUAAUUAUCCAAUUGCAUUAGAGCUAGAAGAACCUAACCCUAACCAAUAAACACGCUAAGAGGGUUUAUUUAAGCUAGAUCUUGCGUUUCCCCAUCAUAAAGCCAAUUAUGGUGGUUGCCACGGGGUGUUAACUAAAUGAACAAUUACGGAUUCUAUUUAAUUAACGUGGCAGUAGGCUAUUAAAUUAAAUCAAAUACCCGGCCGUUGAUAUUCAAUUAAUAAAAUACCCAUGAACAAUUAAUUCAGGAAACGCACGAAUAGCAAUUAAUUGGAGGAAAUAAUGAAGAUUCGGUUAGAUCUCACAGAUAUUAUGGACCGCGCCCUCGCGUCGACCUUUGGGUAGAGGAGAAAAUUAGCCGCUCCUCAUCGUGUCAAUCCCGCGUGAUUUAAUUGAAUUCAUUCAAUUAAUUUCCCAACAAUCAAUUGCCCAGAAAUUGGGGAGAAUGAAUUAAUCGAAGAAACAAUCAAUGAAAAACCUGGCUCUGUCUUGUAUUGGAGCCGCAAUUACAAAGCAAAAGCCAACGGAGAAUUGUCAAAGGCGAAAAGAGCGAAUUCGGGAGUCAGAGUCGCAUAAAAGCAAAAGCUACAGAAAAGGAAAGUCUCCAAUGUCUGACCCAAAGCCGCAGAAGAAAACAAAAGAAAAACAAAAGCGUCUGACCAAUCUUGCAAAAAGGUAAAACUAAGGCUAAAAGUAGUGAUGAUCCCUGAAUCCUGCUUUUUUCCUCCUUUUAUAGCCGCCGCAGGAGCUCUCCAGACGUCUGGCCCAAUUCCUCCCAACAAAAGCUAGCCUUUUGGAGUUUUUAUCCCAUGUUUCUCGCGGUUCACGUGGACCGCAGUCCGGCUUUCGGUUUCGUCCACCUUCUAAGACGUGGCCACGCCCUGAGACGAAAAGUCUUCUGGAAAUUUACCCCGCGAGAUCAUUUUUCAUGCCUACCACCUACAAUUCACACAAAUAUCGAAUAUGAGUGAAAUUCCAAUUCUUAGUACCGUGAAUAGCCAAAAUUAGGACAAAAUAACAGUGCAAAAUACGCCAAAUAACCGUUCUAUCAAAUCCCCCCACACCUAGACAAUGCUUGCCCUCAAGCAUUUCGGAGCUCAAAAGUACAACCAAGAGAGCAGAAGUCAUGUAGUAGUCUAUACUAAUACAAGUCUUUCAGAUCCCUGACAAUAUCUCCAAAAUUAGAACACACCGGACAGGUUGUAACUCAAAGAAAAUACAUGAAUACUAGGAAUGCUCAAAUCAACAUCACAGAAUGGCAUUACCAUAGGCUUGCACAUUUAUCACAUCUCCACCACUCAAAAGUGAACUAAAUACACAAAUCAAAGGGACUUUAAUUGGGUUGUAAUGGGGUUUAGGUAAAAGGCGGGAUAAGAAGGUAAAAAUAGGGUGUAAUGUGUCAAGAGAAUGUCCAAUAUCCACUACAUAACCACAAUGCUUUACCGGGGCAAUUUCUCAAGUAUGGCGUUUUCAUUUGCUGUUUUCAUUGUGCAAGUGUCGAAAAUCGUUCCUCUAUUUUUUAUUUUUUAUUUUUUUUGGAGAGGACGUCUAGCACGGCGUGGGCACGCCCUGGAAGACAGAGUCUUCUGCUCACCAGCUUUUUGCCGAUUUCUCCCCUCUUUUUUUUUUCUUCUUUUCUCUAUUUUUUUCUUGGCUUUUCUUUCGAUAUCAGAUGUACAGAAACAGCACCAUACAACAUCUUUUUGACAACACUUGCGCCCAUAGAUUUAUUUGCCUUGCACAAGUAAUGAAUUUCAGACAUCCCUUAAUGACACAAGGUUGAACAAGAAAGUCUAAAAAGGUCAUGGGUUAUCAAACACGGCUAACAAGCAAAAGUAAAGGACAAAAGUUCAAGUUGGUUCACUAUUGGGAAAUAAGAUGAAGGCAUGGUUUGUAGAAAGUUAAAGAAGGUCAAAUCCUAAAUGCCCUUAUCAUUUCAAAUGCAUCCAAUUCAACAAAAUGUGGUCUUGACAUGUAUAAAAUAGCAAGUUCUAGAAUGUCAAUACCAUGUGCGAUACCCACUCAAUCAAACAAAAAUAGAGUAAACAAGAAUAAUAUGCUCAAGUAAGGCUCAAAAGCUCCCAAAAGUUUCAAGAAUGGGUCAAGUCCAGCAUAUUCAACAUUCAACACUAUUGUCAAGAAGAAACAAAAUGCAUAGCUAGUAUAUAUAACCACAUACCCGUGCACCUUGAUUGUGCAAUCCAUUAUAGCAACAUGCUCUAGCAGUUAACAAAUAUAGGACUAGAGAAGUCAACUAACUACACUUUUUUUUUCUUUUCUUUUUUCUUUCUUUUUUAUUUCAUUUUUCUCCUCUUUUUUUGUGUUUCUCUUUUUUUUUUUUUUUAAAGCAAAGCAAAAGGAGAUAAUAAUGGAAGCCAUCCCCCCACACCUAAUACCUACAUUGCCCUCAAUGUAGAAAAGAUGAAUGAAGUAUAAGGAGAAAAGGAGAGAAACUUCCCUGACCACCGAGAAGAUGCAGCGAGACACUAAGACGAAGGAGGGUGAGAUGGCUGGAAUCCAAUGUGAGCAAAGAAAAUUGUCUGAUGAGAGAGAGAGUCUCUAGCGGCGGUGGACAAGGGGGAAUCCUGGGACUAAAACAAAACAAAGAAGAUUGAAAAGUAGAAGCUGAGACAAUGGAAAUUGACAAGACCAUACAAGACAAGAAAAGAGAAAAGUAGAAAGUGGGAUUAGAGAGGGUCCUGGUCAAUCUUUGACUUUCGUUGGCGCAAAGGCUGGAAGGCGUGGGCACGCCUUAGAAGCUAUAGUCUUCUGACUGUCAAUUCCAAAACUUCACUGCUUAGGCGUGACCACCUAGUGUGGGCAUGUCCAACUGCCAGCUUCCUGCCACAAAACAACAAUCCACUAAAUGACAUUAACACUUAAUAAAAAUUCCAAAAAUAUAAGAAAACUAAAGCAAAAGAAUCCUUGGGUUGCCUCCCAAGCAGCGCCUUUCUUUAAUGUCUUUGGCUAGACAUCGUCAUGUUUAUUCACGGAGGAUAAAAUCGUGUAGCUCGUUUCAGUGCUUCAUCUUCUAUGUAAUCCUGAUAGCCCUCGUAAAUAGAGUAAUUCUUGAGUCCACGAGCUACGGUCUUCCAUGGAUUAGUAGAUGGCGGCAAACAAACAAGUGAUGACACUAAAUCUUCAGUCACUCCUCCAUCACGAGCACUUAGUGGUUCGAGAUAUUUUGCCAUCGCAACCCUUAACUUAUUCCUGUCAUAAAAUUUAAAAUCUUCUGGUAUAAUAAAAUCAAUUUCACCAACAGGAAUUGAAGAAUAAGAGUUAGAAAAAUAUUGAUUAAGGAAUGGAGGAGAUGUCACCGCAUUUGGAGAUUGUUCACUAGAUUCAUUCAUUUGAACAAUUUGAUAUUGGGGUCUCAUGUCUUGCACUUCAACUUUCUUUUCAACUGCAUCUUUAGAUCCUUCUUCAUGAGACUCUUGCAGUUUCAUGUCAUUUGUCAGGAUAAUUAUACCCUCAUCUUCUUCAUGGUCGAUAAUAGUCACUGAGGGCAAUUCUUCACAAAAUGGAGAAAUCAAUUUGCUCAUUGUAGAUGCCAAUUCACGCCUUCCAUCUUCCAUCUCUUUAAUCAACCUUUGUGUCUCCUGUUGAAAUUGACGUGUCUCCUGUUGAAUUUGAUAUGUCUCCUGUUGAAUUUGAUGCGUCUCCUGUUGAAUUUGAUAUGUCUCCUGUUGAAUUUGAUAUGUGUUAGUAGCUAUUAAUUCAACUAUUUCUUCAAGAGACAUAUCUGACAUGGAUGACGGUCCUUGAGACUCUAGCUGUUGAAAAUCUAUUAGCCUUUGUUCAUAAUUAAAAGUGGAAUCAUCCCACCAUCCUUGCUCAUACCCGUUUGAAUAAGGGUCAUGCCACGUUUGAUAUUGAGGUGGAAAAUCCCCAAAAGUAUCGAUUGGAGUACUUCGACCAUCUUAAAAUGCAGGGCAUAUGUCGGGUGAAAAAUUCGAAGCAAAAUAAGCUCCACAAUUUGCAACAGCCCAUUGAUCAUUAGAAAAAGUAUGAGUCUCAUGACCCCUUGUAAAAUUAAAAUCCAGUCUAUCACCAAAAUACGGAAUGUUAGCAGCCAUAAAAUAUAUACAAAAAAAAAUAAGAGAAAAAUAAAAAAAAAUGAACUAAAAAAGAAACAAAUUAAUCAGGCACCAGUCCCCGGCAACGGCGCCAAAAAUUGACAGGUGUCGAGCCUGUCCAAUAAUAAUUACCUACUCGAGAAAAAUACAGAUUUUGUAUAUAGCGGUGAGUAGGGUCGAAUCCACAGGGAUUGGGGAUAACUUAUUUCUUUUAGAGUCCGAAGUAUGGGGGGUUUCUGGAGAAUAUGAAAUAACUAAUUAACUAACUAAUAAAGCAACUAAUAGAAAUAAAUAGAAAGUAAUCAAUAACCAAUACGACUCUAACCAAAGGUACAACUUUUCAGAUACGGUCCAUUCAACUGAUCAUCGAUGCAAAGAUAUUUCAUCCAUUUGUCAUUAGGUUGGUUAUAAUUAUCAACAAGCUCUGAUAACCAAUUCUUCCUUACCUUUUCGACAGUCAAGGUACGACCAUUAACUGCUCCCCUAACCAGAUAACAACCAUAGGUACGACCGUAGGAAUUUAAUUAUCCAAUUGCAUUAGAGCUAGAAGAACCCAACCCUAACCAAUAAACACGCUAAGAGGGUUUAUUUAAGCUAGAUCUUGCGUUUCCCCAUCAUAAAGCCAAUUAUGGUGGUUGCCACGGGGUGUUAACUAAAUGAACAAUUACGGAUUCUAUUUAAUUAACGUGGCAGUAGGCUAUUAAAUUAAAUCAAAUACCCGGCCGUUGAUAUUCAAUUAAUAAAAUACCCAUGAACAAUUAAUUCAGGAAACGCACGAAUAGCAAUUAAUUGGAGGAAAUAAUGAAGAUUCGGUUAGAUCUCACAGAUAUUAUGGACCGCGCCCUCGCGUCGACCUUUGGGUAGAGGAGAAAAUUAGCCGCUCCUCAUCGUGUCAAUCCCGCGUGAUUUAAUUGAAUUCAUUCAAUUAAUUUCCCAACAAUCAAUUGCCCAGAAAUUGGGGAGAAUGAAUUAAUCGAAGAAACAAUCAAUGAAAAACCUGGCUCUGUCUUGUAUUGGAGCCGCAAUUACAAAGCAAAAGCCAACGGAGAAUUGUCAAAGGCGAAAAGAGCGAAUUCGGGAGUCAGAGUCGCAUAAAAGCAAAAGCUACAGAAAAGGAGAAAGUCUCCAAUGUCUGACCCAAAGCCGCAGAAGAAAACAAAAGAAAAACAAAAGCGUCUGACCAAUCUUGCAAAAAGGUAAAACUAAGGCUAAAAGUAGUGAUGAUCCCUGAAUCCUGCUUUUUUCCUCCUUUUAUAGCCGCCGCAGGAGCUCUCCAGACGUCUGGCCCAAUUCCUCCCAACAAAAGCUAGCCUUUUGGAGUUUUUAUCCCAUGUUUCUCGCGGUUCACGUGGACCGCAGUCCGGCUUUCGGUUUCGUCCACCUUCUAAGACGUGGCCACGCCCUGAGACGAAAAGUCUUCUGGAAAUUUACCCCGCGAGAUCAUUUUUCAUGCCUACCACCUACAAUUCACACAAAUAUCGAAUAUGAGUGAAAUUCCAAUUCUUAGUACCGUGAAUAGCCAAAAUUAGGACAAAAUAACAGUGCAAAAUACGCCAAAUAACCGUUCUAUCAAAUCCCCCCACACCUAGACAAUGCUUGCCCUCAAGCAUUUCGGAGCUCAAAAGUACAACCAAGAGAGCAGAAGUCAUGUAGUAGUCUAUACUAAUACAAGUCUUUCAGAUCCCUGACAAUAUCUCCAAAAUUAGAACACACCGGACAGGUUGUAACUCAAAGAAAAUACAUGAAUACUAGGAAUGCUCAAAUCAACAUCACAGAAUGGCAUUACCAUAGGCUUGCACAUUUAUCACAUCUCCACCACUCAAAAGUGAACUAAAUACACAAAUCAAAGGGACUUUAAUUGGGUUGUAAUGGGGUUUAGGUAAAAGGCGGGAUAAGAAGGUAAAAAUAGGGUGUAAUGUGUCAAGAGAAUGUCCAAUAUCCACUACAUAACCACAAUACUUUACCGGGGCAAUUUCUCAAGUAUGGCGUUUUCAUUUGCUGUUUUCAUUGUGCAAGUGUCGAAAAUCGUUCCUCUAUUUUUUAUUUUUUAUUUUUUUUGGAGAGGACGUCUAGCAAGGCGUGGGCACGCCCUGGAAGACAGAGUCUUCUGCUCACCAGCUUUUUGCCGAUUUCUCCCCUCUUUUUUUUUUUUCUUCUUUUCUCUAUUUUUUUCUUGGCUUUUCUUUCGAUUUCAGAUGUACAGAAACAGCACCAUACAACAUCUUUUUGACAACACUUGCGCGCAUAGAUUUAUUUGCCUUGCACAAGUAAUGAAUUUCAGACAUCCCUUAAUGACACAAGGUUGAACAAGAAAGUCUAAAAAGGUCAUGGGUUAUCAAACACGGCUAACAAGCAAAAGUAAAGGACAAAAGUUCAAGUUGGUUCACUAUUGGGAAAUAAGAUGAAGGCAUGGUUUGUAGAAAGUUAAAGAAGGUCAAAUCCUAAAUGCCCUUAUCAUUUCAAAUGCAUCCAAUUCAACAAAAUGUGGUCUUGACAUGUAUAAAAUAGCAAGUUCUAGAAUGUCAAUACCAUGUGCGAUACCCACUCAAUCAAACAAAAAUAGAGCAAACAAGAAUAAUAUGCUCAAGUAAGGCUCAAAAGCUCCCAAAAGUUUCAAGAAUGGGUCAAGUCUAGCAUAUUCAACAUUCAACACUAUUGUCAAGAAGAAACAAAAUGCAUAGCUAGUAUAUAUAACCACAUACCCGUGCACCUUGAUUGUGCAAUCCAUUAUAGCAACAUGCUCUAGCAGUUAACAAAUAUAGGACUAGAGAAGUCAACUAACUACACUUUUUUUUUCUUUUCUUUUUUCUUUCUUUUUUAUUUCAUUUUUCUCCUCUUUUUUUGUGUUUCUCUUUUUUUUUUUUUUUAAAGCAAAGCAAAAGGAGAUAAUAAUGGAAGCCAUCCCCCCACACCUAAUACCUACAUUGCCCUCAAUGUAGAAAAGAUGAAUGAAGUAUAAGGAGAAAAGGAGAGAAACUUCCCUGACCACCGAGAAGGUGCAGCGAGACACUAAGACGAAGGAGGGUGAGAUGGCUGGAAUCCAAUGUGAGCAAAGAAAACUGUCUGAUGAGAGAGAGAGUCUCUAGCGGCGGUGGACAAAGGGGAAUCCUGGGACUAAAACAAAACAAAGAAGAUUGAAAAGUAGAAGCUGAGACAAUGGAAAUUGACAAGACCAUACAAGACAAGAAAAGAGAAAAGUAGAAAGUGGGAUUAGAGAGGGUCCUGGUCAAUCUUUGACUUUCGUUGGCGCAAAGGCUGGAAGGCGUGGGCACGCCUUGGAAGCUAUAGUCUUCUGACUGUCAAUUCCAAAACUUCACUGCUUAGGCGUGACCACCUAGUGUGGGCAUGUUCAACUGCCAGCUUCCUGCCACAAAACAACAAUCCACUAAAUGACACUAACACUUAAUAAAAAUUCCAAAAAUAUAAGAAAACUAAAGCAAAAGAAUCCUUGGGUUGCCUCCCAAGCAGCGCCUUUCUUUAAUGUCUUUGGCUAGACAUCGUCAUGUUUAUUCACGGAGGAUAAAAUCGUGUAGCUCGUUUCAGUGCUUCAUCUUCUAUGUAAUCCUGAUAGCCCUCGUAAAUAGAGUAAUUCUUGAGUCCACGAGCUACGGUCUUCCAUGGAUUAGUAGAUGGCGGCAAACAAACAAGUGAUGACACUAAAUCUUCAGUCACUCCUCCAUCACGAGCACUUAUUGGUUCGAGAUAUUUUGCCAUCGCAACCCUUAACUUAUUCCUGUCAUGAAAUUUAAAAUCUUCUGGUAUAAUAAAAUCAAUUUCACCAACAGGAAUUGAAGAAUAAGAGUUAGAAAAAUAUUGAUUAAGGAAUGGAGGAGAUGUCACCGCAUUUGGAGAUUGUUCACUAGAUUCAUUCAUUUGAACAAUUUGAUAUUGGGGUCUCAUGUCUUGCACUUCAACUUUCUUUUCAACUGCAUCUUUAGAUCCUUCUUCAUGAGACUCUUGCAGUUUCAUGUCAUUUGUCAGGAUAAUUAUACCAUCAUCUUCUUCAUGGUCGAUAAUAGUCACUGAGGGCAAUUCUUCACAAAAUGGAGAAAUCAAUUUGCUCAUUGUAGAUGCCAAUUCACGCCUACCAUCUUCCAUCUCUUUAAUCAACCUUUGUGUCUCCUGUUGAAAUUGACGUGUCUCCUGUUGAAUUUGAUAUGUCUCCUGUUGAAUUUGAUAUGUGUUAGUAGCUAUUAAUUCAACUAUUUCUUCAAGAGACAUAUCUGACAUGGAUGACGGUCCUUGAGACUCUAGCUGUUGAAAAUCUAUUGGCCUUUGUUCAUAAUUAAAAGUGGAAUCAUCUCACCAUCCUUGCUCAUACCCGUUUGAAUAAGGGUCAUGCCACGUUUGAUAUUGAGGUGGAAAAUCCCCAAAAGUAUCGAUUGGAGUACUUCGACCAUCUUGAAAUGCAGGGCAUAUGUCGGGUGAAAAAUUCGAAGCAAAAUAAGCUCCACAAUUUGCAACAGCCCAUUGAUCAUUAGAAAAAGUAUGAGUCUCAUGACCCCUUGUAAAAUUAAAAUUCAGUCUAUCACCAAAAUACGGAAUGUUAGCAGCCAUAAAAUAUAUACAAAAAAAAAAUAAGAGAAAAAUAAAAAAAAUGAACUCAAAAAGAAACAAAUUAAUCAGGCACCAGUCCCCGGCAACGGCGCCAAAAAUUGACAGGUGUCGAGCCUGUCCAAUAAUAAUUACCUACUCGAGAAAAAUACAGAUUUUGUAUAUAGCGGUGAGUAGGGUCGAAUCCACAGGGAUUGGGGAUAACUUAUUUCUUUUAGAGUCCGAAGUAUGGGGGGUUUCUGGAGAAUAUGAAAUAACUAAUUAACUAACUAAUAAAGCAACUAAUAGAAAUAAAUAGAAAGUAAUCAAUAACCAAUACGACUCUAACCAAAGGUACAACUUUUCAGAUACGGUCCAUUCAACUGAUCAUCGAUGCAAAGAUAUUUCAUCCAUUUGUCAUUAGGUUGGUUAUAAUUAUCAACAAGCUCUGAUAACCAAUUCUUCCUUACCUUUUCGACAGUCAAGGUACGACCAUUAACUGCUCCCCUAACCAGAUAACAACCCUAGGUACGACCGUAGGAAUUUAAUUAUUCAAUUGCAUUAGACCUAGAAGAACCCAACCCUAACCAAUAAACACGCUAAGAGGGUUUAUUUAAGCUAGAUCUUGCGUUUCCCCAUCAUAAAGCCAAUUAUGGUGGUUGCCACGGGGUGUUAACUAAAUGAACAAUUACGGAUUCUAUUUAAUUAACGUGGCAGUAGGCUAUUAAAUUAAAUCAAAUACCCGGCCGUUGAUAUUCAAUUAAUAAAAUACCCAUGAACAAUUAAUUCAGGAAACGCACGAAUAGCAAUUAAUUGGAGGAAAUAAUGAAGAUUCGAUUAGAUCUCACAUAUAUUAUGGACCGCGCCCUCGCGUCGACCUUUGGGUAGAGGAGAAAAUUAGCCGCUCCUCAUCGUGUCAAUCCCGCGUGAUUUAAUUGAAUUCAUUCAAUUAAUUUCCAAAGAAUCAAUUGCCCAGAAAUUGGGGAGGAUGAAUUAAUCGAAGAAACAAUCAAUGAAAAACCUGGCUCUGUCUUGUAUUGGAGCCGCAAUUACAAAGCAAAAGCCAACGGAGAAUUGUCAAAGGCGAAAAGAGCGAAUUCGGGAGUCAGAGUCGCAUAAAAGCAAAAGCUACAGAAAAGGAAAGUCUCCAAUGUCUGACCCAAAGCCGCAGAAGAAAACAAAAGAAAAACAAAAGCGUCUGACCAAUCUUGCAAAAAGGUAAAACUAAGGCUAAAAGUAGUGAUGAUCCCUGAAUCCUGCUUUUUUCCUCCUUUUAUAGCCGCCGCAGGAGCUCUCCAGACGUCUGGCCCAAUUCCUCCCAACAAAAGCUAGCCUUUUGGAGUUUUUAUCCCAUGUUUCUCGCGGUUCACGUGGACCGCAGUCCGGCUUUCGGUUUCGUCCACCUUCUAAGACGUGGCCACGCCCUGAGACGAAAAGUCUUCUGGAAAUUUACCCCGCGAGAUCAUUUUUCAUGCCUACCACCUACAAUUCACACAAAUAUCGAAUAUGAGUGAAAUUCCAAUUCUUAGUACCGUGAAUAGCCAAAAUUAGGACAAAAUAAUAGUGCAAAAUACGCCAAAUAACCGUUCUAUCAAUCGUUACUGACAAAAAAAAAAAAAAAGGAGAACAUCUCUGAUGGAUAUGCUGCGGAGUAAAUGGAGUUGUAGCAGAAGUACACUUGGCUGUGGCACAAAUAAAUUUUCAUGAAUUCACCUCCCUCUUCAAAUACGUUCACUAGAUCUAAGAAACUAACUUCCAAAUUUGAGGUCAUAUUAGAUAUAUAUUUUAAUGGACAACUAGAACCAAUUCUUAAACAUGUAUUCUUAAUCGUAAGUUUUUCUAAAGUAUUGGUUAUUACACCUAAAUUAUACCUAACUUAUUAUGUAAAUACACACACCCGCAUCCAUUGCACCUGCAACAUUUGGACAUUUUUCUUAAAUUCAUUUGAUUUUUACCAAAAAUUAAUAUAUGAAAUUCUCUUAAUGGUGACCUCCUGACACUGUUAAUCAAGCAUGUACAUGUAGCUGGAUCCAUGUAGUUCAUUGCAAAUUUGCCACGACACGAAGUGCGUUUGCAGUCAAUAUCAGCAAUAAUUGUUAGCUGACCACAAACACUUGCAUCUUUGUAAAUGUGACCAUCCAUAACACAUACAUCAAUGUGAAUGUGACCAGUCUUUUUGCAUAUAAUCUUUUAUUUUCUAAAAUAUUUUGACAUAUAAUCUUGGGAUAAUUUUAGAAACCUUUCUGAAAUUUCAAACAAUUUCACUAGCCUCCUCUGAAAUUUAUAAAAUUACACUUACCUCUCUUUUAUAGAAUUGUGAGCCAAAUUACUUACAUUAUAUGGGGAGAAAUUACUCAUAUACCCUAAGACAUUAUGUCUUAUUAGAAACUAAUAUCUAACGAUUGAAUAAUUAGAACACUAGUUAAUUGUUAGUAACCAAUUAACGGAAAAAACUGUUGAGAAUUUCUUCAAUGAUGAAUGGUGACUUACAAUUACAAAAUAAUGCCAAUUGAUAUACCAAAUGACGCUAUUUGGUGAUCGAUAAUGACCAAAAAUCAAUUUUAUGCAAUGUGAGAAGAGGGGCUUUAGUAGAAGGAAAAAGCUAUAAGGGAAAAGAAGGUUGUUCAUAAGAAAUUUUUUUUGGAAACUCUUGAACCUAUGAUAGUUGUAAGUUAAUUCCGUUGAAAUAAAGGAAAAAAGAGGGAAACCUCAUAUGAAGAGAUAUGACUGGUCUUUUUUUAUUGAAUUUUGUGAUCAUUAUUAUAGUUUUGUUGUCUAUUCGUAUUGCCUAAUGUAUUGAAUGUGAACUUUUUGAAUAGUGAAAUAUGUUUGUUAAUUGUUUCUAACUUCUAAGUAUUUUCAUUCUUUUACUAAUACAACUUAUAUACAUGCAUAAGGGGUAUUUAUGGAAUAAAAGUUUCAUUUCUCUCUUUAAUGUUACUUUUUAUGACUUGGACUAUUUUUGUUACAAAAAUCUUAACCUUAAGGGAGAGUUGUGUAAUUUGCAAACCUCAGGGAAGGAUAAUGAAAUUGUUAGAAACCUCAAGGAGGUUUCUGAAAUUAUCCCUAUAAUCUAAUGUAAAACCUACCUGUGUUUUAGAUGAUUGGUUCUUUAAUUUGUGGUUGAAUGAGAAUUAGCAAGACAAGCAGAAAAAAAAUAAAGAAAAUUUUUUUUUUCCCUAAUGAGCUCUUGUUAGAUGAGAAAAAAGGAACCGAUUAAAGUGCACAUCUUUACAAUCACGAACCUUAAAAUUUGUGGCAGCUUUUGAGAAAAUUUUUCCGAAAUAAAUACUUGUAUAAAACCAGUCAUGUAAUUAAAAAAAUUUAAGAUGAUUCUUACUAAAAUUGAGUCUCAUGGUCUUCCUUUUUCUCCAUAAAAUAAAAAAAUGUCAAACUUUUGAACACCUAGAGAAUUGAUUUUCUUAGUGUAAAUCAUAGUCAAUCAUUAAUUAGAUAUACGUAGUGUUUGGAUAGGAGAUUAUUUGAAAUAUUAUAUGAAAUAAUUAGUUUAGCAUUUUUUACAAUAUAAUGUAUAUGAGAUAAAAAAAAUUGAAAAGAUAAAAAGAUAUAUUAAAAAAUAUAUUUAUAAUACAAAUAAAUAAUUUUUAAUCAAACAAUUGCUAUUCAAAUGUGUAUCCAAACACGUGGAAAAGUGUAUUCUAGAAGUUAUUUGUGAUAAUAAUUUGCACACCAAUUAUGACGUGGGGAUUUAAACCACAAUUGCAAUGACGUUUGCAGUAAACGGGCAAUAAUUGUUACCUGUGGACAUCUGGUACACUGGCCGCAUUUACAUUGACGUAAGUGUUUGCCGUCAGCUAAAAAGUAAAAAGAUAUGAUCAAUUUUGACAGAUGGUCCCCCCUCUCUCUCUUCCCUCCCGCUUACUUUUCAAGUAUUUGGCAGUCUAAUGUAAAACCUACAUGUGUUUUGCGUGUUUGGUUCUUUAAUUUGUUGUUGAAUGAGAAUUGGCAAGAGAAACAAAAAAAAGAGCAUUUAAAGAACCCUUCAUUGCUCAUUUAUUGUCUCAUUUGUCUCUGUCACUUGAGGGAAGCCACGUUUGGUUUGUAAACUUCCCAAAGGAGAACCCUUAAUGAAGAUUUACUUUAACUUUCAAAAAAAAAAAAAAAACCCUUCAUUGCAGCCGUGUAGAGCAAGUAGAAAGAGCAUUUCAAGUGAAAUAAGUAACAUGCUUUUGCAUUUAUCAAGCUGUAGACUUGAUUUUGUAAGGGUUUGUAAAUGGACUUGAGUGUGUACAUUCAUUUAGUAUUUUUUUUUUGGUUUAACGCACUAUCAAGUUUUCAAUUACUAUUGUUAGAAAAAUUCAAAUUUUUGUAAUUUUGUUUGAGUAUGCAUUUAACCUGUUUUAAUGAGUUAAAUUUUUUUAAUACUCGCUGACAUUCACUAAAAUAUUGAUUAAUCCAAAAUUGAGUACUUUGGAACCCCUUUUGAAGGGUGGCUCGAACACUAUUUUCUCCGUCCAUAAGAUUUGGAAUCCGAAAUCUAUUGCGGGGUAUCAAACUCCUUGUCGCUUUGACCCAACAAUCGUUUGUGGAGCAGAGGGGAGCAAGUGUGAUUCAAUCAUAUCAUUGCACUCUAGCUACAGACUAUUCCCAUAUCCGUUUAGCCACAUUGGUGAAACAAUUCUUAUAUUUACUCGUAGCAAGCAACAAGCACCCUGGUCCCGUGGCUAGUGCAAAUGGAAACUCGCAAAGCUCAUUGCUUGAUAUUUCCAUGUGCCGUGCAAGGACAUAUAAACCCGAUGCUCCAGUUUGCUAAGCGUUUGCAACAUCAAGGCACCAAAAUCACACUUGCUACAACUAAAUUCCUGUUCAAAACCUUGCAAGAAGUCUCGGGUUCAAUCGCAGUGGAGACCAUCUCUGAUGGAUAUGAUGAAGGAGCAAAUGAAGUGCCCCUUGAUACAUAUAAUGCUGUGUUUCAAAAGGUUGGCUCAGAAAGUCUAACUGAGCUAAUCUUGAAGCUUAAAGAUCUAGGCUGUCCUGUUGAUUGUAUUGUGUAUGAUGCAGUCAUUCCCUGGGCUCUGGGUGUGGCCAAAAGUCUUGGCUUACGUGCAGCUGCGUCCUUCACUCAAUCUUGUGCUGUCAACAAGAUCUACUACCAUGUCUACGCAGGACUUUUGAAACUCCCUCUGGAGGAGUCUAAAGUGGAAAUUCCUGGCUUACUACCACUUUUAGCUUCAGAUCUGCCUUCUUUUGUUUCUACUUACGGUUCAUAUCCGCCAAUUUUUCAGCUGGUUACACAUGACCAAAUGAAGAACAUUCAUGAAGCUGACUGGAUCUUCUGCAACACAUUUUACAAGUUGGAGGAAGAGGUAAAAGAACAUCUGGAUUUAUUUCAAUAUUACCUGUACAUUACUGCUGCCUAAUGGCAAACCUUAUUCCUUAAUGACCCUGCGAAGUUGGGCUUCCAAUAAAUAUGGAUGUGCCUACGUUCUCGUCGGAUGGUCCUUGUAACCACAUUUUGACUCCCUUAACAUUAGGCCAUAUUACUUCUAUGAGUAUCAUACGAUUACAAGGAAACUAUACUGGCACACGAAUCGCAUGGCUUCAGUGACAUCCACUGCUGAAGACAAAAAAUAGUAGCAUUACCUCAUAUUUCUUUUCGCUUUUUUUAUUUUCAUUUCGUGAGGAAUGCAUAUGAACUAAAAACUAGGGACGAGAGGCAGGAACGGUUGCAAUCAUUCCUGAUGGUUCAUGGCUAAGAUUUGGUAAAAAAAAUAUGUAAGGUUUACAUUUUAUUUUAUACAUCGUUUUUCAUAUUAUGUGUGAAAUCCAUAAAAAUUUAUUCUAUAAUUAUACGUUAUUGAAAGUGAGUUACAUUGUAUGUAUAUAAAGUUACAUUUUAUGCAUUUUGCACAAGACUAGUCUUGUCCAAAAACUAGAUGCUUGAUCAAUUUGUUGCAUAUAUUGCCUAGGUGAUUGACUGGACAUCUAAGAUCCUACCAGUAAAGACGAUUGGACCAACCAUUCCAUCUAUGUACCUUGACAAGCGCCUUCAAGAUGACAAGCAGUAUGGUCUCAGCCCUUUUAACCCAAUGACUAAUGCUUGCAUGUCCUGGCUAAAUGAAAGAUCAACCAGUUCAGUUGUUUAUGUGUCAUUUGGAAGUUUGGCAGAACUUGAUGCUGAGCAGAUGGAAGAAGUAGCACAGGGCUUGAGAACUAGCAACUACUAUUUUCUAUGGGUGGUUAGAGAAUCAGAAUCAAAUAAGCUGCCAAAAGAUCUUGUUAAAGAAACACCUGAUAGAGGAUUAGUCAUUUCAUGGUGUCCUCAGCUUGAAGUUUUAGCCCACAAAUCUAUAGGGUGCUUUAUCACUCAUUGUGGAUGGAAUU